This 706-nucleotide ribosomal RNA is filed under the name uncultured bacterium. RNAcentral describes it as "bacterial SSU rRNA". It matches the Rfam family "Bacterial small subunit ribosomal RNA", at positions 684 to 1390 of the family's 1533-position model. The record is from RNAcentral.
AAAUGCGUAGAUAUAUGGAGGAACACCAGUGGCGAAGGCGGCUCUCUGGUCUGUAACUGACGCUGAGGCUCGAAAGCGUGGGGAGCGAACAGGAUUAGAUACCCUGGUAGUCCACGCCGUAAACGAUGAGUGCUAAGUGUUGGAGGGUUUCCGUCCUUCAGUGCUGCAGCAAACGCAUUAAGCACUCCGCCUGGGGAGUACGACCGCAAGGUUGAAACUCAAAGGAAUUGACGGGGGCCCGCACAAGCGGUGGAGCAUGUGGUUUAAUUCGAAGCAACGCGAAGAACCUUACCAGGUCUUGACAUCCUUUGACCACUCUAGAGAUAGAGCUUCCCCUUCGGGGGCAAAGUGACAGGUGGUGCAUGGUUGUCGUCAGCUCGUGUCGUGAGAUGUUGGGUUAAGUCCCGCAACGAGCGCAACCCUUAUUGUUAGUUGCCAUCAUUUAGUUGGGCACUCUAGCGAGACUGCCGGUGACAAACCGGAGGAAGGUGGGGAUGACGUCAAAUCAUCAUGCCCCUUAUGACCUGGGCUACACACGUGCUACAAUGGGAAGUACAACGAGUUGCGAAGUCGCGAGGCUAAGCUAAUCUCUUAAAGCUUCUCUCAGUUCGGAUUGUAGGCUGCAACUCGCCUACAUGAAGCCGGAAUCGCUAGUAAUCGCGGAUCAGCACGCCGCGGUGAAUACGUUCCCGGGCCUUGUACACAC